GCCUGGAUAGCUCAGCUGGUUAGAGCGUGGUGCUAAUAAUGCCAAGGUUGCAGGUUCGAUCCCUGUUUGGGGCA
RNAcentral lists this transfer RNA (74 nucleotides) under Podarcis lilfordi (Lilford's wall lizard). It matches the Rfam family "tRNA". Rfam says of the family: Transfer RNA (tRNA) molecules are approximately 80 nucleotides in length. The record is from Rfam by way of RNAcentral. Lineage: Eukaryota; Metazoa; Chordata; Lepidosauria; Squamata; Lacertidae.